UGAGCAACCUGCCCUUGACUCCGGAAUAACAGCUGGAAACAGCUGCUAAUACCGGAUAUGACCUCCGAUGGCAUCAUCUGGAGGUGGAAAGCUCCGGCGGUCAAGGAUGGGCUCGCGGCCUAUCAGCUUGUUGGUGAGGUAACGGCUCACCAAGGCUUCGACGGGUAGCCGGCCUGAGAGGGCGACCGGCCACACGUGGGACUGAGAUACGGCCCAGACCUCUACGGGA
RNAcentral lists this ribosomal RNA (229 nucleotides) under uncultured bacterium. RNAcentral describes it as "partial 16S ribosomal RNA". It matches the Rfam family "Bacterial small subunit ribosomal RNA", at positions 118 to 346 of the family's 1533-position model. The record is from RNAcentral.